UACGUAGGGUCCGAGCGUUGUCCGGAAUUAUUGGGCGUAAAGAGCUCGUAGGCGGUCUGUCGCGUCUGCUGUGAAAACUCGGGGCUUAACCCCGGGCCUGCAGUGGGUACGGGCAGACUAGAGUGCGGUAGGGGAGACUGGAAUUCCUGGUGUAGCGGUGAAAUGCGUAGAGAUCGGGAGGAACACCAGAGGCGAAGGCGGCGACCUGGACAGACACUGACACUCAACUGCGAAAGCGUGGGGAGCAAACAGG
Molecule: ribosomal RNA, 253 nt
Filed under: uncultured bacterium
Lineage: Bacteria
Description: partial 16S ribosomal RNA
Rfam family: Bacterial small subunit ribosomal RNA
Source: RNAcentral